AACGAACGCUGGCGGCAUGCCUAACACAUGCAAGUCGAACGAGACCUUCGGGUCUAGUGGCGCACGGGUGCGUAACGCGUGGGAACCUGCCCUUAGGUUCGGAAUAACUCCCCGAAAGGGGUGCUAAUACCGGCUAAUGUCUUCGGACCAAAGAUUUAUCGCGUUUGUAUGGGCCCGCGUUGGCUUACCUGGUUGGUAUGGUAAAAGCCUACCAAGGCGACGAUCCAUAGCUGGUCAGAGAGGAUCAUCAGCCACACCGGGACGGAGACACGGCGCAGACUCCUACGGGAGGCAGCAGUGGGGAAUAUUGGACAAUGGGCGGAAGCCUGAUCCAGCAAGGCCGCGUGAGUGAUGAAGGCCUUAGGGUUGUAAAGCUCUUUUACCCGGGAUGAUAAUGACAGUACCGGGAGAAUAAGCUCCGGCUAACUCCGUG
RNAcentral lists this ribosomal RNA (433 nucleotides) under uncultured bacterium. Its description in RNAcentral is "partial 16S ribosomal RNA". It matches the Rfam family "Bacterial small subunit ribosomal RNA", at positions 29 to 507 of the family's 1533-position model. The record is from RNAcentral.